RNAcentral lists this ribosomal RNA (465 nucleotides) under Vreelandella stevensii. RNAcentral's name for it is "partial 16S ribosomal RNA". It matches the Rfam family "Bacterial small subunit ribosomal RNA", at positions 338 to 795 of the family's 1533-position model. The record is from RNAcentral. Lineage: Bacteria; Pseudomonadati; Pseudomonadota; Gammaproteobacteria; Oceanospirillales; Halomonadaceae.
CCUACGGGAGGCAGCAGUGGGGAAUAUUGGACAAUGGGGGGAACCCUGAUCCAGCCAUGCCGCGUGUGUGAAGAAGGCCCUCGGGUUGUAAAGCACUUUCAGUGAGGAAGAACGCCUGGUGGUUAAUACCCAUCAGGAAAGACAUCACUCACAGAAGAAGCACCGGCUAACUCCGUGCCAGCAGCCGCGGUAAUACGGAGGGUGCGAGCGUUAAUCGGAAUUACUGGGCGUAAAGCGCGCGUAGGUGGCUUGAUAAGCCGGUUGUGAAAGCCCCGGGCUCAACCUGGGAACGGCAUCCGGAACUGGCAAGCUAGAGUGCAGGAGAGGAAGGUAGAAUUCCCGGUGUAGCGGUGAAAUGCGUAGAGAUCGGGAGGAAUACCAGUGGCGAAGGCGGCCUUCUGGACUGACACUGACACUGAGGUGCGAAAGCGUGGGUAGCAAACAGGAUUAGAUACCCGAGUAGUC